This 330-nucleotide ribosomal RNA is filed under the name uncultured prokaryote. RNAcentral's name for it is "bacterial SSU rRNA". It matches the Rfam family "Bacterial small subunit ribosomal RNA", at positions 26 to 352 of the family's 1533-position model. The record is from RNAcentral.
AGAUUGAACGCUGGCGGCAUGCCUAACACAUGCAAGUCGAGCGGCAGCGGCGGGGGCGACCCUGGCGGCGAGCGGCGGACGGGUGAGUAAGGCAUCGGAAUCUGCCCUGAUGGUGGGGGAUAACGGUAAGGGAAACUUACGCUAAUACCGCAUACGACCGAGAGGUGAAAGGCGGGGGACCGAAAGGCCUCGCGCAGCAGGAUGAGCCGAUGUCCGAUUAGCUGGUUGGUAGGGGUAAAGGCCUACCAAGGCGACGAUCGGUAGCUGGUCUGAGAGGAUGAUCAGCCACACUGGGACUGAGACACGGCCCAGACCUCCUACGGGAGCAGC